CCUCUCGCCUCCUUCCCGCUCUGGUCCUUCUCCCCCGGGGAGCGGCUGAGGCGGGACCGGAGGUGGGGAGCCUCCAGAAGCGGCCCCACCGCGCACCCCACGGCCUCGGGUGAGGGGCUGCUCGUUGCCGUGGGGGCCAGGCCUUUGGUUGCCGCCUGGGCAGGCGAGGGUGGGUACCCCCAAGCAAGCCCUUUCCCUCAGCCGGGGGCAAACCCAGCCCCAAGCCAGGCAAAGGGCUGUCCUGCCCAGGCGGCAGCAGCCGUGCACCCCUUUUUUUUUCUCCUGCCAUGCUGAGUUUUCAAGGCGAAAAGCGAACAAAGUGGCUUUUACACUCUCCAUCGACCGCAGCGCUUGCCCAUCCAAAGCUCUGUUCCUGGCUGCAAUAAUUCUGCAAGUACGAGCAUGAACGGCUUGUCCAGCUGUGCUUAUAUUGACACUGAUUGGGGCAUAUGAAAGAGGAACUUACACGAGGGAACUGUCAACUAAACGUUCUGGCAGACUGAAAACUUUCCCACGAAGACCUGGAAGGAAGAGGGAAAUUUGUCAUAGCAUGCUAUCAAACAUUUCCCGGAGCACCUCAAGUUAAUGAAAUGCUAAGGACCAGGGUAUGAUUUCCCAGGCAUUCCAGUGCCAAAUCCACAUAAGUAGCAGUGCCGGUGGGGAUUUGGGUUUGUGGAUAUAGAUGGUUAUCGUCACUGCAGCAUGGAUACUCCUGGACCAGCUUAGCAAGUACAAGGUGCAUUCUUAUCAGCCAUUACAAUCAUUAGACCUGCACAUGGUGAGUAAAAUUCUAGUCCUGAUGUGUACCUGGUAUUCAAUUCACCUAGAACUCUUAAGCAUGAAAAAAGGGACAUAGAAGAACAGAAAUGGUAACGAUAGAUUUUUCCUUAUAAAAUGGUAGCAAUAGGUCAGACAAAAAUAAACUCUCUGCAUGUUCUCUGAGCACAGGAUAAGAAAUAAUUGGUCUGAAUUGUAGGAAAGGAGAGUUAGGAGAAUAUUUAUAGAGACUCUGAAGGCUCCUCCCUCUGCUGUCAAAGAAGCUUAUGCAACGAAUCGUGACUUGGGGACAGGAGAGGAAAGACAGAACAAGUCUGUGCCUGCCCAGCUGUGGACAGAAGAUGGUGACCAGAAGAUCCACCGGAUGGAUCACCAGAAGAGGGUGACUUCUGAGCAUAUGGUCCCAGUUACUGACUCCAGUUUUUCUUGAGUUAUAAGCUGUUACUUUAGUGGGUAUAUGGCUCAAGCCAGCUACAGGCUCCUUAGCCUAUACAGUAGGUCACUCUUGUGGUCUAAGCUAUUCCCCUGUCUCUGUCCUGUAGAGUACUGGGUGUGAUACCAGCUCCUGGCCCUUCCACUACCUCAGCCAGGCAGGUGUUGAGAUGUAUAUAGUACAGAUAUUCAAAAACCCUAUGAUAUUAACUUGCUUGAUUUAGAAUAAUAUAUCCAAGAUUUUUGCCAUCUGGUAGUUCAAAGUAUGCUCAGAGAUUCUCCAGCAACAGCAGUUCCUCUCUGAAAAUCUUGCCACGUAGCAGAGCUCUUUGAACAACCUCUUUAGUAUGUUCUUGUCUGUGAAAGGCAGUACAGAGUUUGGUAUACAAAUUGUGUGUCUCUGAGGUGAUGUUGAACCAUGAGAAUGUCCUUCACAGCUAUUGCUAGACCUUCAGUGCAAUCUGUUGGAAGGACAGAACUGCUACAGAAACCAACAAGAGGAUUUUGAAAUUUCAGAGUGCGAAGUGAAAACAAGAACAUUUAAGGAAGUCCCUCAUUGUUACAUCUCUUUACUGGAAAGAUGUAAAGAAGAUAGAAACAAGUAUAAAGCUAUGGACAUAGACUGUAUCCACUGUGUAUGACAUAUUGUACUCUUCGUGUCUCAUAGAGUGAAUACAUGGACGUUGUAUUUCCAGAACGGCACAGGAGGGAAGAGAACCAACACUUGUCAUGGUUUUAUGUGCUUAAAUUUUACAAGUAAUAUUAUUUAAGAAACUGCAUUCUCAUUCAGGAGAAACUGUGAUUGUAGGUGAUGCAAAUAGCUGAUAAAGUAUGUUCUGCAUGUCAGUGUCAUGGUGUUCAUCCAGCCUUACUUACUAUGAACUUCAUCAGCUGGUCAGAGCGUAAAAAUUAAAGAGAGAUACAUUAUUUUCAAUCUCUUUCAGCUGUAGCAUAUCACUAUGAGCAUGUUUAUGUGUAAGCUUCUAUAAAAGCUUUCAAGAUUCCUGGUUUAAUAACUAAAGUGGUUCACUGAUUGAUAUUCAUGUGUCAAGCUGUAGUUUCAGAACCAGUUUCAUCUGAUCUAAGUGUGGGCUGCCAGAAGGGGUAGUUUUGUCUUCCCCCUCAGUCCCAACCACAAAGGUCUCUUCUGUCAGAAGCGGUGCUCUGUUCCAACCUGGCUGAAAUCCAACCUGUGAAAAAAAUAAAUCGCUGCAAAAAUAACAAUUAGUUUUCAGCCAUAUCAGCUGUGGUUUCAUCCUGCAGCCCCAGGCAGCCUAAUGCUGGCAUGAGGGAUGGGGAGAGGAAGCAGAGCUGGCAACAGAGGCUAGGGGACCAGUGGGACCUCCUUUUUCCAUGGCAACCUACAUUUAGCUCAGCAUAAUCUGAACUGCAACCUCCUGUUUCCUCUGCACUUAAAAAACCCCUUUACUGCCCUCUCCGUGUUGGUAGAAUACGCAGUUAUCUAUUUAUAUUGACGUACCACUUUAGUAGUUCCUUGUGGGACAGAGUUAUACUGGUGCUCAGAUGCUCUGCCCAACUGGGUAUACUUGGAGGAAUGUAAAACACCUUUAUGCUACUAUAAUAUUAAGAACCUAUGAUUAUUAAAAUAUUUCCCAACGUUUUAAUUAUUGCCAUUCUUCCAAACCAAGGGCAACAAAAGGAUUAAUUUUAAAAUAGGUUUAACUACUGCAGUUCAGCUUGUGGGUUAUCUGUACGAGCGAACAAAAUCCUCUCAAAGUCAGCAGCAAUGGAAUAUAAUGCUGACUGUUCAGCAUUAUAUGAAUGCUGUUCACUCCACAUGUCUCUCUCAGAAAGCC
This is a long non-coding RNA of Chroicocephalus ridibundus (black-headed gull), 3026 nucleotides long. RefSeq lists it as uncharacterized. The record is from RefSeq and is a predicted model, not a curated record. The transcript has 3 exons. Lineage: Eukaryota; Metazoa; Chordata; Aves; Charadriiformes; Laridae.